CAGCAGUGAGGAAUAUUGGUCAAUAGCCUAACGGCUGAACCAGCAACUUGGAGGAAUGUAUAGCUAAAACUAAAUGUAUUUUGUAAUAAUACAUAUUCGAUUUAUUCGUAUAAAGUUCUAGAUAGAAUUAUGAUAAUGACAUUGUCUAUCUAUAAGUCUUGACCAAAUUACGUGCCAGCAGUCGCGGCAAGACGUAAAAGACUAGUGUUAUUCAUCUUUAAUAGGUUUAAAGGGUACCUAGACGGUAAAUAAAGCCUAAACGGGGACUAAUUUAACUAGAGUUAGAUGUAAGGGUGCAUAAACGUACUGUUGAGUGUAGAGAUGAAAUUCUUUUAUACCAGAUUAUUGGCACGGGUUUAGGCGAAAGCAUCGCCUUAUGUAAUAACUGACGUUGAGGGACGAAGGCUUUGUGUCGCGAACAGGAUUAGAUACCCCAGUAGUCUAAGCAGAAAAUGAUGAGUGUCAUAGGUUAAAUAUUAUUAUUUGGUCUAUAAAUGAAAGUGUAAGCAUUCCACCUCAAGAGUAAUUUGGCAACAUUGGAAUUGAAAUCAUUAGACCGUUUCUGAAACCAGUAGUGAAGUAUGUUGUUUAAUUAGAUAAUCCACAAAAAACCUUACCACAAUUUGAAUAUUUUACAAGCGUUGCACGGCUGUCUUCAGUUAAUGUCGUGAGAUUAUGGUUAGUUCCAUUAAAUUAACGUAAACCCUUACUUUAUUUUAUAAAAUAU
RNAcentral lists this ribosomal RNA (727 nucleotides) under Collema undulatum. Its description in RNAcentral is "SSU rRNA". It matches the Rfam family "Bacterial small subunit ribosomal RNA", at positions 349 to 1126 of the family's 1533-position model. Lineage: Eukaryota; Fungi; Ascomycota; Lecanoromycetes; Peltigerales; Collemataceae. The record is from RNAcentral.